ACUAUUUUUCUUAUUGUUGGUUAGCCUUGGUGAUGUUGUUCCUUGGGAACAGAUAAAGCCAUCAAAGAAUAUCUUGUAUGAAACAUGUAAGCCUGAGAAAUGGUUCAAGUGCAAUGACUUUGAUGAGAAGAGUAUUAUUAGCUAUGAAGAUUCUAAAUUUAAAAAAAACGAUAGAGACAAGUAACAGACGUAGGUUUAGUUCGUUUACAAGUGGAUAUCUUCUAUCAAGAAACUCCAAAUGGUAUAUGAUUCUCCUUGUGAAGACAAUGGCUUCAGACGCGGAGAGAUUUUGUAGAAAUACGGUUAAAGAGCCCUCUGAUUGUAGCUUUCUAAGUCUCAUAUUUGGUUCCCAAGGUAUACUCAGAAACAGCUCGAAAAGUAAGUCACCUACAUAUGUCAUGGCUACUAUUCUCAGUUACAGUUCCGUAUCUUCCUUGUGUUGACAGCCUUCUGUGUCUCUGAGUCAAGUACUUCUUUACUAUCCUCUUGAUGGACGUCUCACCAUAAGUCCUGUAAACUCACUGUGAACUAUACUGAAGAAGGAGUUGUGUUUCUGGAAGCUGAAACAAACUGUAAAAUGGAUGAGAUUGGCGACAUCACGAAACCAGACCUUGAGACACUAGAGAAACUUGUCUAUGAUGUUGUAGACACCAAGAAUAUUCUUGAAGUCCCUCCCGUUACUGCUCAGGUUUACUACUUUUCUUCCCGCUCAAGCAAUCUUUUU
Brassica oleracea var. oleracea is the source of this 724-nucleotide long non-coding RNA. RefSeq lists it as uncharacterized. The transcript has 3 exons. The record is from RefSeq and is a predicted model, not a curated record. Lineage: Eukaryota; Viridiplantae; Streptophyta; Magnoliopsida; Brassicales; Brassicaceae.